UACGGAGGAUCCAAGCGUUAUCCGGAUUUAUUGGGUUUAAAGGGUGCGUAGGCGGUCUAUUAAGUCAGUGGUGAAAGCCCCAAGCUCAACUUGGGAACUGCCAUUGAUACUGAUGGACUUGAGUACAUUUGAGGUGGGCGGAAUGUGUCAUGUAGCGGUGAAAUGCUUAGAUAUGACACAGAACACCGAUUGCGAAGGCAGCUCACUAAACUGUAACUGACGCUGAGGCACGAAAGCGUGGGGAGCAAACAGG
This 253-nucleotide ribosomal RNA is filed under the name uncultured bacterium. Its description in RNAcentral is "partial 16S ribosomal RNA". It matches the Rfam family "Bacterial small subunit ribosomal RNA", at positions 524 to 776 of the family's 1533-position model. The record is from RNAcentral.